CUGUGUAAAGGUGGAUAUAGAUCAUCCAGGCAGUGGGAUGUUCUUCUUACUCAUAAGCAAAGUUUCUGACAGCCCCUGACACUAGAGAACAAGGUCUUCCAUUGAGUUGUGUUCUUUUUACUUGCUAACAUAGCAUUUUUAUUAAUUAGCUACUUGACACAAAAGUGUAAUAAGUUAUUUCUAUGUUUUCAUAGUCAACUAUUGAGUCACAAUUUGCCUCAUCGCAUGACAUUGAUUUUAUAAUAGAAUUUUCUAUAAAUAUAGCAGAAAGGUAAACCAGUCUUUCCACUCAGUUUGAUCACUUUAAAAUUCUGAUAAAUACUACAAUCAUCCAAAAUUAUGAAAUACUACAAUCAAUCCUACUUGUGAAAAUC
This 374-nucleotide long non-coding RNA is filed under the name Pan troglodytes (chimpanzee). RNAcentral describes it as "long non-coding RNA NONPTRT009182". Lineage: Eukaryota; Metazoa; Chordata; Mammalia; Primates; Hominidae. The record is from RNAcentral.